GCGUUUAUAGCUCAGUUGGUUAGAGCACCACCUUGACAUGGUGGGGGUCGUUGGUUCGAGUCCAUUAAACGCACCA
This 76-nucleotide transfer RNA is filed under the name Klebsiella pneumoniae subsp. pneumoniae. Its description in RNAcentral is "tRNA-Val". It matches the Rfam family "tRNA". From Rfam's summary of the family: Transfer RNA (tRNA) molecules are approximately 80 nucleotides in length. The record is from RNAcentral. Lineage: Bacteria; Pseudomonadati; Pseudomonadota; Gammaproteobacteria; Enterobacterales; Enterobacteriaceae. RNAcentral also lists the same sequence under 1 other name.